GACAGAGGGUGCAAACGUUGUUCGGAAUCACUGGGCGUAAAGCGCGUGUAGGCGGCAGUGCAAGUCGGAUGUGAAAUCCCGCGGCUCAACCGUGGAAGUGCACCCGAAACUGCACAGCUCGAGUAUCGGAGAGGAAGGUGGAAUGCUUGGUGUAGAGGUGAAAUUCGUAGAUAUCAAGCGGAACACCGGUGGCGAAGGCGGCCUUCUGGACGAUUACUGACGCUGAGACGCGAAAGCGUGGGUAGCAAACAGG
This 253-nucleotide ribosomal RNA is filed under the name uncultured bacterium. RNAcentral describes it as "partial 16S ribosomal RNA". It matches the Rfam family "Bacterial small subunit ribosomal RNA", at positions 524 to 776 of the family's 1533-position model. The record is from RNAcentral.